AGUGAACGCUGGCGGCAGGCCUAACACAUGCAAGUCGAACGAGUGGCGGACGGGUGAGGAAUACAUCGGAAUCUACUCUGUCGUGGGGGAUAACGUAGGGAAACUUACGCUAACACCGCAAACGACUGUAUGAGCCGUUGUGGGAUUAGCUAGUUGGCGGGGUAAAGGCCAACCAAGGCAACGAUCCGUAGCUGGUCUGAGAGGCUGAUCAGCCACACUGGGACUGAGACACGGUCCAGACUCCUACGGGAGGCAGCAGUGGGUAAUAUUGGACAAUGGGCGCAAGCCUGAUCCAGCCAUGCCGCGUGGGUGAAGAAGGCCUUCGGGUUGUAAAGCCCUUUUGUUGGGAAAGCGGUACCCAAAGAAUAAGCACCGGCUAACUUCGUGCCAGCAGCCGCGGUAAUUC
Molecule: ribosomal RNA, 406 nt
Filed under: uncultured bacterium
Lineage: Bacteria
Description: partial 16S ribosomal RNA
Rfam family: Bacterial small subunit ribosomal RNA
Source: RNAcentral